RNAcentral lists this long non-coding RNA (1183 nucleotides) under Panax ginseng (ginseng). RNAcentral's name for it is "long non-coding RNA (PGIN_LNC016459)". Lineage: Eukaryota; Viridiplantae; Streptophyta; Magnoliopsida; Apiales; Araliaceae. The record is from RNAcentral.
CCAAACAGCCAAGCCGACCCUAAGAUAAGUAAGUGUUGGCUUGUUGUCUUCCAUCGGAAGUCAUUUGCUAAAGUAACCAAGCCUAAUUAACAUACAAGGCACCACAAUCCACAAACUUUAUCACCCACAUGUAGUAUUAGUGUUACUCCCCACUAACCAGACUCCCAAGUACAAAGUUAAACAAAACAAUGCACAACUCUCUUUCUAUCAUACUACUUCGUAGUUGUUCUUCGUAGUUGUUUUUGUUUCUAAAGCAUACUACUUCUUGCCUAAUAAUAUUAUACUCUAAUACUCCCCCUCAAACUGGAAGUCUUAUAUCACGACUUACGGCUUACAGCUUGUUGAUAACAUAAUCUUAUUUUUAACUACGAAGAUUGAGGCCCUUUUCAAUGUGCAUAGAAAAAAGUUUUUUUUUCCGUCCAAAAUUAGAUAUCUCACUCUCGGUAUAUUACUUAACACAUCCACUUUCCAAGGAUAUCAUGUGCCGACUAUAACGGAGAAUACUUGUCUCCCAUAACAAAUGCGAAGGACUCUCUAUCCUUCAAAAACAACUACGAAGGAGUCCUUGUCUUUCCCAACAAUGGAGGACUCUCUAGCCUCCCAAAAAAUCGAAGGACACACUCUUUCCUGAUGUAUUGAAUAUUGUUGUUAAAGAUACCAUGUUAAAGAUAAAAUAGAUGUAUUGAAUAUUGUUGUUAUGUUAUAUUAGAAAGAGUACUAAAGCCUUAUAUAUAGGCUACUAGUUGCGUAGUGGCCCAGUAUUUGUGGCCACCAAACAUACUUGGUGACAAAAUAAUAAUAAUAAUAAUAAUAAUAAUAAUAAUAAUAAUAAUAAUAAUAAUAUACUCUAAUACAUGUCUUAUAAUUAAAACGAAUCAAACUUGUUUUGUUUUUACUGUGACAUAGUACCUUGUUAUUUUACAGACCCAAUAUAUGUGUGUGAGGUUUUCUAUGUAACUGUCUUAUAGAUAAAGGAUUAUGUUGUAGGUUUACAUUUGACAAACUUAUCUUAUAAGGAAUAUGUUUAUUCAAUGUUCUUGAAGGUAGGCUGUAUGAGAGCUAAGCUUGUCAAUUUAUUUUGUCUCAAGUCUGAGUUUGUUCUCUGUUUGCAUAUGUUUAUUUUUUUACAUAUACUACUGUUAUCUUGAAAAUCUAUAUGCCGUGGUGCAUAAAAGAAGAGUGC